GGGGACGGUUAUCCGGAUUACUGCGGCGUAAGCGUGUGUAGGCGGUUCGGAAAGAAAGAUGUGAAAUCCCAGGGCUCAACCUUGGAACUGCAUUUUUAACUGCCGAGCUAGAGUAUGUCAGAGGGGGGUAGAAUUCCACGUGUAGCAGUGAAAUGCGUAGAUAUGUGGAGGAAUACCGAUGGCGAAGGCAGCCCCCUGGGAUAAUACUGACGCUCAGACACGAAAGCGUGGGGAGCAAACAGGAUUAGAUACCCUGGUAGUCCACGCCCUAAACGAUGUCAACUAGCUGUUGGGGCCGUUAGGCCUUAGUAGCGCAGCUAACGCGUGAAGUUGACCGCCUGGGGAGUACGGUCGCAAGAUUAAAACUCAAAGGAAUUGACGGGGACCCGCACAAGCGGUGGAUGAUGUGGAUUAAUUCGAUGCAACGCGAAAAACCUUACCUACCCUUGACAUGUCUGGAAAGCCGAAGAGAUUUGGCCGUGCUCGCAAGAGAACCGGAACACAGGUGCUGCAUGGCUGUCGUCAGCUCGUGUCGUGAGAUGUUGGGUUAAGUCCCGCAACGAGCGCAACCCUUGUCAUUAGUUGCUACGCAAGAGCACUCUAAUGAGACUGCCGGUGACAAACCGGAGGAAGGUGGGGAUGACGUCAAGUCCUCAUGGCCCUUAUGGGUAGGGCUUCACACGUCAUACAAUGGUCGGGACAGAGGGUCGCCAACCCGCGAGGGGGAGCCAAUCUCAGAAACCCGAUCGUAGUCCGGAUCGCAGUCUGCAACUCGACUGCGUGAAGUCGGAAUCGCUAGUAAUCGCGGAUCAGAAUGUCGCGGUGAAUACGUUCCCGGGUCUUGUACACACCGCCCGUCACACCAUGGGAGUGGGUUUCACCAGAAGUAGGUAGCCUAACCGUAAGGAGGGCGCUUACCACGGUGGGAUUCAUGACUGGGUGAUCAGAAAAGAACCCCCAAAAUAUAUAAAAAAGGAUAGCCGCAGGGGGGGGCGUUUAA
RNAcentral lists this ribosomal RNA (1000 nucleotides) under Alcaligenes faecalis. RNAcentral describes it as "bacterial SSU rRNA". It matches the Rfam family "Bacterial small subunit ribosomal RNA", at positions 533 to 1533 of the family's 1533-position model. The record is from RNAcentral. Lineage: Bacteria; Pseudomonadati; Pseudomonadota; Betaproteobacteria; Burkholderiales; Alcaligenaceae.